AGAGUUUGAUCAUGGCUCAGAUUGAACGCUGGCGGCAGGCCUAACACAUGCAAGUCGAACGGUAACAGGAAGAAGCUUGCUUCUUUGCUGACGAGUGGCGAACGGGUGAGUAAUGUCUGGGAAACUGCCUGAUGGAGGGGGAUAACUACUGGAAACGAUAGCUAAUACCGCAUAACGUCGCAAGACCAAAGAGGGGGACCUUCGGGCCUCUUGCCAUCGGAUGUGCCCAGAUGGGAUUAGCUAGUAGGUGGGGUAACGGCUCACCUAGGCGACGAUCCCUAGCUGGUCUGAGAGGAUGACCAGCCACACUGGAACUGAGACACGGUCCAGACUCCUACGGGAGGCAGCAGUGGGGAAUAUUGCACAAUGGGCGCAAGCCUGAUGCAGCCAUGCCGCGUGUAUGAAGAAGGCCUUCGGGUUGUAAAGUACUUUCAGCGGGGAGGAAGGGAGUAAAGUUAAUACCUUUGCUCAUUGACGUUACCCGCAGAAGAAGCACCGGCUAACUCCGUGCCAGCAGCCGCGGUAAUACGGAGGGUGUAAGCGUUAAUCGGAAUUACUGGGCGUAAAGCGCACGCAGGCGGUUUGUUAAGUCAGAUGUGAAAUCCCCGGGCUCAACCUGGGAACUGCAUCUGAUACUGGCAAGCUUGAGUCUCGUAGAGGGGGGUAGAAUUCCAGGUGUAGCGGUGAAAUGCGUAGAGAUCUGGAGGAAUACCGGUGGCGAAGGCGGCCCCCUGGACGAAGACUGACGCUCAGGUGCGAAAGCGUGGGGAGCAAACAGGAUUAGAUACCCUGGUAGUCCACGCCGUAAACGAUGUCGACUUGGAGGUUGUGCCCUUGAGGCGUGGCUUCCGGAGCUAACGCGUUAAGUCGACCGCCUGGGGAGUACGGCCGCAAGGUUAAAACUCAAAUGAAUUGACGGGGGCCCGCACAAGCGGUGGAGCAUGUGGUUUAAUUCGAUGCAACGCGAAGAACCUUACCUGGUCUUGACAUCCACGGAAGUUUUCAGAGAUAAGAAU
This 1016-nucleotide ribosomal RNA is filed under the name Escherichia coli. RNAcentral describes it as "bacterial SSU rRNA". It matches the Rfam family "Bacterial small subunit ribosomal RNA", at positions 8 to 1013 of the family's 1533-position model. Lineage: Bacteria; Pseudomonadati; Pseudomonadota; Gammaproteobacteria; Enterobacterales; Enterobacteriaceae. The record is from RNAcentral.